AGAGUUUGAUCAUGGCUCAGAUUGAACGCUGGCGGCAUGCCUUACACAUGCAAGUCGAACGGCAGCGCGGACUUCGGUCUGGCGGCGAGUGGCGAACGGGUGAGUAAUACAUCGGAACGUACCCUGUUGUGGGGGAUAACUAGUCGAAAGAUUAGCUAAUACCGCAUACGACCUGAGGGUGAAAGUGGGGGGACCGCAAGGCCUCACGCAGCAGGAGCGGCCGAUGUCUGAUUAGCUAGUUGGUGGGGUAAAGGCCCACCAAGGCGACGAUCAGUAGCUGGUCUGAGAGGACGAUCAGCCACACUGGGACUGAGACACGGCCCAGACUCCUACGGGAGGCAGCAGUGGGGAAUUUUGGACAAUGGGGCAACCCUGAUCCAGCAAUGCCGCGUGUGUGAAGAAGGCCUUCGGGUUGUAAAGCACUUUUGUCCGGAAAGAAAUCGCGCUGGUUAAUACCUGGCGUGGAUGACGGUACCGGAAGAAUAAGCACCGGCUAACUACGUG
This 504-nucleotide ribosomal RNA is filed under the name uncultured bacterium. RNAcentral's name for it is "bacterial SSU rRNA". It matches the Rfam family "Bacterial small subunit ribosomal RNA", at positions 8 to 507 of the family's 1533-position model. The record is from RNAcentral.